CCUACGGGUGGCAGCAGUGAGGAAUAUUGGUCAAUGGGCGCACGCCUGAACCAGCCAAGUCGCGUGAGGGAAGACUGCCCUACGGGUUGUAAACUUCUUUUGUCAGGGAAUAAAGUCAGGCACGUGUGCCUGUUCUCAGGUACUUUAUGAAUAAUGAUCGGCUAACUCCGUGCCAGCAUCCGCGGGAAUACGGAGGAUUCGAGCCUUAUCCGGGUUUAUUUGGUUUUAAGGGUGCGUAGGUGGGAUGUUAAGUCAAUCGUUAAAGUUUGGGGCCUAACCGUCACAUUGCCGUUGAUACUGGCAGUCUUGAGUAGGCGUGAGGUAGGCGGAAUGCGUGGUGUAGCGGUGAAAUGCUUAGAUAUCACGAAGAACCCCGAUUGCGAAGGCAGCAUACCGACUUCCAACUGACACUGAGGCACGAAAGUGUGGGUAUCGAACAGGAUUAGAUACCCUAGUAGUC
Molecule: ribosomal RNA, 460 nt
Filed under: uncultured bacterium
Lineage: Bacteria
Description: partial 16S ribosomal RNA
Rfam family: Bacterial small subunit ribosomal RNA
Source: RNAcentral